RNAcentral lists this ribosomal RNA (703 nucleotides) under uncultured fungus. RNAcentral describes it as "eukaryotic LSU rRNA". It matches the Rfam family "Eukaryotic large subunit ribosomal RNA", at positions 24 to 664 of the family's 3401-position model. The record is from RNAcentral. Lineage: Eukaryota; Fungi.
CCCGCUGAACUUAAGCAUAUCAUUGAGCGGAGGACAAGAAAACAACUGUGAUUCCCUGAGUAACUGCGAGUGAAUAGGGAAAAGCCUAUGCUUGAAUCCGGUGUGGAUGGAAUCGGAAACACCGGAAUUGUAGUGCAAGGGUUUUGGGCGAGGCGAACCAGUCGGAAGAAUCGCUCAGGAACGAGCAACCAAUGAGGGCUAUCGUCCCGUAUCCUCCGACGCGGUCGCUUCACAUGCUCUUCUCCCCAAGAGUCGGGCAGUUUGAGAAUGCUGUCCAAAACCGCAGGUGUACUCCUGCGAAGGCUAAAUAUUUCACCAAGACCGAUAGCGAACAAGUAGUGUGAACGAAAGAUGAAAAGUACUUUGAAAAGAGAGUGAAAAGUCCUUGACAUUGUUGGGCGCAAAGGGUAUGAGACCCAUUGUAUGCUUCUGCUUUUCAGCGUGAGCCGUCAACGCGAGUUUCUGGCUUCUGCAGGUUUUGCUCUGCUUCCCCGCUUCGGCGUGUGAGAGACAUUUCUGUUGCAGUAAGUUGGCGACUUGGCAGAGUCUUUAGCCGACCGCAUUUGAUUUUGGCUGUGUUUGCGUUGUCGAAGCAUCUUCUUUCGUGGAGGGUCUUCACAUUGCACCCAUUGUCACCAGGUGUUGUCGAGCUUUCGAAUCGUUGACCUUUUAAUGGUCUCUUACCACCCGUCUUGAAACACGG